CUCGAUUCCUCUUUCCAUUCCUGAAUUGCUCAAUUUAGAAUGUCACCCCCUGCUCCCCUUCAGCUGCAGUCAGCAGGCUUUUCUCCUAGCUCACAGAGCACAUGUUAGCUCAGUCCUCCUUCACCUAACUGGUUAACUCUUCACUCAUCUCAUCACUCGAGGUUCAGAACACUGACAUACCUUUGUCCCAGAUGAGAGAAAGAGAAACCUUAUAUUACCCCACCACAAGAUCAUUCAUCCUAUGCCCUUAAAGGGAUCUGUGGCCCUCCAUUCUAACUUGCCCCUGAGGUUAAUAGCUCCCAAGACACUCUUCUCUCUAGCAGAGACUACAUCAAAUGUUUUUAAGCAGACUCCCUUAGGCAGAUGAGCAACCGAUCUUGCAAAACAUCCCUUCUGGCUUUAAAGGGCCAGUAUCCCACUGCAGCAAACAUAGGAUUAGAUCGUGUUAUGCUCCGUAGCCAACCUCUGGAAGAACUAGAUGGUGCAAAAAGUAAAACAAUUGAAGACAUUCCAAGGAUGUACAGCGAGGCUUAGAAAUUCCAGCAAUAAACAAAACAGAAACAAGAUAAAUCUUAAAACGUGGUUGUAAAAGAAAAGACUGAGAGCUGGGACAUCACUGAGAAUAUCCCACAGUUUUAAUCUGCAGGGACAGCUGGGAUAUGACUGACACUGCAACACGAAUCCCACCUCCCGCCUUCCUUUCUUGUUCAUCAGACUGUAGUCCUACUCUGCUGUGCCACCUUGUGCUCACGAGCUGAUAAUACACUGCUCCAUGAAGGGCAGCCAUUCCUGCCUCAACUGAGUGAUGCUACACGAGCCAGUCUGCCCCAUACGACACAGCUAGAAAAAGGACACACGUGCAUUGGAAUGCUGUACUCUUAGAACCCUUUCUGUAUUCUCAUGAAGGCCAAGGUUGUCACAGAUGUUGUCAGAUUUUUUCAGUGAUCACAGGCAAAGUACUGAUUUCAUGGCAAUUCAGACCAUCACGGACACCUCUCACACUUUGCAUGACCUCCUGGCCUUGCCUUCUGGGCUCCCAAGUAGCACGUCCCAGCAGCACACACACGUUAUCCCAUUAACGACUCUGAUGGUGACCCUGAAUCUUACUUACCUCACUGUAAAGAGGAUGUUUCACCAGAGCAACAGGGCUUUGGUGAGAAUUUUCAGAGCAGACGACGCUUUAGAGAUCUUCAAACUCCACUACUUUAUGAGUUGAUGGAAAAAUACCUUCCUGAAGGCAGGACACACACUGCGAGCAUAGCAGAGUACUUGGAAAGAAAUCACAGCGAUUCCAGCAGAUGAGAAUGCCUUUGCACUUAGCAGCUUUUCAGAUCAUUUUUCCAGACACACGCUAAACCUCCUUGUUUUUUUUUUUUUCCAGGGAAUGGCAGAAUUCCAGUUAUGUGAGGAUUUUCAGGUGCCAAAGCUCUCAUUCUUGGCAGGCAUUCUGAAUGUCUGGGGCAUGGGAAAGAAAAUGUACUCUUAGGAGUGACAGAACUCGAGAGGCUACCCCCAGCUGGUCUGGCUUCAUCACUCCGGACAUACGAAGCCCAAUGACUUAAACAUAUCUAUUAUAUAAAAAUCGUGCAACGAGGCCCCCCUGAGGCCUCUAUAGCAGAGAUACGCAGAGAUUGCACUGCGGGGUCUGGAAGCUGAGCGAGCAGCCGCUUGGUGUCAGAGUUCUGCCGCCACUUUGUGUCCUGCAUGGCACCCUGCACCUCAGCAGCAGGAGCUGGCAGUGCUUCUGCAGCUUCCAGGCUCACUGCAGAGGGCUGGGUACGAAAUGGACUCACCGAUCCUUUUAACCCAUGGGAAAUCAGCCAUCGGGUCAAGGACUGCUGUGCUAGCCAGCCAAAUAGUGCCGCAAUGUACAUGUCUGAGAUUCGCAGAGGAUUAGGACUCUGCCUGCCUUGGGAAGUGUUCCUGAGGCUGACAGGGCCAUGGCUGCUCCCAGGCACUGGGAUGUGCCAUCACUCCAGGAGCUGGUUAUGAUGCUGCCUAGGAGAGCUGGUAGAGUGGUGGCACACAGAGGACCCCAAGCAUGAGGCAAUGAAGAAAAGGAUGAGCCUAUUCUUCCCGCAGACAAUUCCUGCUAAGGACCCACCUUAGGUGAUUGCUGAAGAACCCACUUGUAGAUAUGGAUGCAGCCCACCUCUACGUAUUAUACUGCAUGACAAAAUAACAAGGACGUUGCAUCAAUGUCAAAGUCAACGGGACUUUUCUCUAGAAAUCCCACCAGUGGUGUCACAGCAGUUGGUGAUGCCAGCCUGUCUAAGCAGUUAUUGCUUCCUGACAACUUCAUGCCCUUGAAACCAUGUUUGCAGAUGGAUGGUAAAUAAUACUCUUCUGAAAACAACAAAAAAGUAGGAUUUUGGAGUUAGUUGUGCCAUGACAAGAAGGUUUAAGAAAAACAGUGUAUUUCUGUCUUAUUUUGCCACAUGACAACAGAAAAUGUCACUAUAUUUUAAUACACAGAUAUAUGCAGAAUGAUCAUUCACUUGGAAAGUCAUUUUAAGGAAGUAUAAUUAUUUUUCAUUGCCAUAAUUGUUCUUGAAUUUUACAGAAAUGCUUUGUAUAUUUCAUGGCAACCGUUUCGUCACCUGAAAGCAACAGAGCUGUAGAUGGCACUCUCCAUUACUGUGGCAAGAUUUACUUCUUGGGGAAAGAUAUUCUGAAAAUACCCAAACAAAAUACCAGUAAGAAUAAUAUAGUAUGUCCUAUACUGUCCAAACACAUGCAUUUAUCAUGUAGCAGAAAUAGUGAACAUAAAUGGUGAACUAAAAAUGGGCGAAUUAACACAGAACUUAGUUGACCUUGUUUUAAAGGAGAGAAAACAGUCUGUUUAUGUCCCAGAAAACAGCUGCCUUCUUUUUCCAAGUGAUAAACCAGUCUGGAAGAACUGGGUAAGACACAUUAUUAACACAAGUUUCAUUUUUUUUUUGUAAAGACGUGGCUGGAGUCAGUUUGACAGCACAGUUAUUUUCAUACCCCACGUCUAAUCUGGUCUUGGCUGCCUUAUCCUCACACAUAAGUACCCAAGUGGCCUGCACAGAACAUUGUCCCCUAUGCAGGUGACCCCUUUCCUUUUGGAAUUACAAUGCUAUUCUCCCUGUCUUCAUUAACUUUGCUCACCAACUCUCUUCUUACAGAUGAUCAUACAGGAAAUAAUACAGAAAAUUAAGAUAAAUGAUGAAAAAAAUUGCACAGACAUUUAUAACUACAAGAUUUCAGAUAUGAAAUUUCUCAUCUCUUCCCUCUCCUGUUUUUACAAGAAUGGAAGCAGUGAGCAGUUAUGUGCACGUGUAACAUGAGAAUAAUAAUUAAGAAAGGAAAAUAACUAUGUACUAAAGACAGAUCUGAAAGAGGAAAACAGGGUUUUUCCCUCUCAUGGUUUACUAAAAUGUAGAAGAAUAUCCCGAGAAGGAUUAUUUUUAAAAUGCUAUUUUCUACUAAAGCCUUGACAUUGCUUCUUUAAUGCAGAGUUCACUCAAGUUUCAGAGGUUUUUGGAACUCCCAGCACUCAGAUGUAGACUUCAGUCCUGAAGUAUCAGGUACUUUAUUGUACUUAAUAAAACCCUACUUGCUGCUGUGAGUGAGCUGAACGCAUACUGCUUUAAGGAACCAGAGUGUAAAUCAUCUCAUACCAGCAAAAAUGUCUGGGAAAAAUGUAGGAAGAAAUAUCCCACAUACAUGCACUGCCAAGAUCUUCUGUUCCUUCCAAAAGCAGAGUAUGAUAUGGAGUUUGGGUACUCCAGACAAAGAUAAGUGAUGUGAACUUAGCAAAAAAUUCUACAGUAAUUCUCCUGUUCCACUUAAAAGGUAGAAUUGUUUUAAGUAGGUUGGGUUGUUUGGUGGCAAGAUAUCGUAAAUCCUUAUGAUGUGCAGGAAAUGCACAGGAUGUGUGACAGGGAUAUCUAAGAGAGAAUAAUGAUACAUAUUCCGACUUUUACAUAAUGGAAAGGAUAUAGAGCAGUGGGACUUUUGGAGGAUAAAACAUACGUGCGCACACCUUAUGUGUACACACCUAAAAAGAGGGUUCAUGCAUACUUGUCGAGGUCAAGAAUAGGGAAGAAAUGGGAAGCAUGUAUUGUUUAGAAAAAUCUGAGUAGCACAUGAAUAAAAUAUACCACACAUAUAUGAAUAUGUAAUUAUGAUACAUAUGCUAUGUUUAACAUAUUUUGUUAACUAUUUUUCAUAUAUCACAUUCAAUGUAUAUAUGCUUUAUGUAUUAUAUUUUAGUUACCAUGUGUAUUUUGGUUACAUUAUGUAUUAAAGUCACUUGGAUUCUAUGUUAUGUUUGGCCUCUAAUCAACAUCACUUUAUUGUUUUAUAAGACACUAACGGAUCACUAUUAUCCAGCACUGAAAAUUUACCAUUCAAUGAAAAAGGAUCUACUGCUUUGGAAGAGUUUAUGUAUUAUUUUAAAUCCCCAGCCUACAUCAGAGGCUUAUACAGGCACUAUCCUCUAAUUCUUUUCCUCUGCAACAUAACCUGGUACAUCAGCCAAUUAGCACUGGGAGAAUCUGAAUACUGAGAUCAGAAUACUAUGCACUCUAAUUUUAUCCUGAGGAAGUUAGGCGAUUAUCA
This 4587-nucleotide long non-coding RNA is filed under the name Gallus gallus (chicken). Lineage: Eukaryota; Metazoa; Chordata; Aves; Galliformes; Phasianidae. The record is from RNAcentral.